RNAcentral lists this ribosomal RNA (253 nucleotides) under uncultured bacterium. Its description in RNAcentral is "partial 16S ribosomal RNA". It matches the Rfam family "Bacterial small subunit ribosomal RNA", at positions 524 to 776 of the family's 1533-position model. The record is from RNAcentral.
UACGAAGGGAGCUAGCGUUGUUCGGAAUCACUGGGCGUAAAGCGCACGUAGGCGGAUUUGUCAGUCAGGGGUGAAAUCCCGGGGCUCAACCUCGGAACUGCCUUUGAUACAGCAAGUCUUGAGUUCGGGAGAGGGAAGCGGAAUUCCGGGUGUAGCGGUGAAAUGCGUAGAUAUCCGGAGGAACACCGGUGGCGAAGGCGGCUUCCUGGACCGACACUGACGCUGAGGCGCGAAAGCUAGGGGAGCAAACGGG